RNAcentral lists this long non-coding RNA (1305 nucleotides) under Drosophila guanche. The record is from RNAcentral. Lineage: Eukaryota; Metazoa; Arthropoda; Insecta; Diptera; Drosophilidae.
CAAAAAAAUAAAUACGCGGUGGGUCCAUGCAGGUUUUAGUGGCAUGCUUGGGCAACAAAUUUGAAGUCAGUUGUCCAAAUCUCGAUUUGCCGAUGGGAGUCGGAGGAAAAUGUGCAAGUGUUAAUGUGUGUGUACAUGUGCAAGGCAGCCGCCUUGUCAGCAAACAUGUCUCCAUGUCCCCUUCCGUCAAAACUCCAUGCUUGUUCACACCGUGACUCUGAAUACUCUCAUGGAAAAUAUUUGCAACGCAAAGUCAAAACCCGUAAUUCAUUAUUUGUAUACAUAUUCAGAUGUUUAUAUCCGUUACCCCUUUCAUCCUAAAUUAUAUAAUACUAUUUGGUUGGUGGCAGAGGCCUGGGACUCCGAGACGCCCAUUGAGCGGUGACGUUUCGUUUGUAGGAAGUUGAGAGUCUACUAUACUAUUUGGUUAGUGUUUGUACGCACAAAAUAUUCUUAUCGGUUCCAUACGAAUAUCAUCCCUGAUUUUUUUUGCGACCCCUUUCUUUCGAUCUGAGUGCUAGGCUUCAGGAAGGAAAUGUGUUGCUGCAUAUAAACUUGAUAUACAUCAAGCCAUUAAACAUAUCAGAUCCGUUUUUUUCAUUUCAAACUCACAACACACCUAAAUUCCUGUCUGAAUCAAGAACAUUGUAAAAAAAAUGCAUUAAAGUUGAUCAAUUUUCCACUUUUUUUCAAUUUUAACUUGAUGAAAAAAUUCGAAAUUUAAAAUCUUCUUUAAAGUCUUAAUUUAACAAGUUUUUGCUUGUUUCCUUUCUUGUUUCUUCUUUCUGCAGACAGAAGAUUUCAUUUGCUAUUCUUUAUUUCAGCCUAGUACUCAGAUCGAAAAAAAAGUUCUCAAGCUCGUUCGCCCCCGACACUUCGGUUCAGCUCCAUACCUAAAUCGUUGACACGAUAAAAGCAGCUGGAUCGAGAGUGAGAAGGGCUUGGAGAAAAAGUUGAGCGACUUAAGUGUCGAUCAACUGUACACAUAUGUAUGUAUAAUACCUAAUAUGAUGUACAUUUAUAUUUAAAUAAACUAUUGUUCACAGGAGACGAACAAGAAUAAUAAAGAGAACAGCGUCUUUGCCACUGAGCAUGUCGUGGAAAAGCUACUGGAAAAGCUCGCCCAUAAAUUGGAGCCUGCACGAAUAAGGCCCGCCUUUUAGUACUGGAAAAUUACUUGGUGAAACUGACAGAGAAGGAAGCUACCGAAGUGGAAAAAAAUGACCACCGUACUUUUUAAAGAGAUCGAGGCCAUACAAAUGGAGAAAUAUAGAGAGGAGAAUAAAUAUAAAUAUUAUGCAUUUU